UUUAUAGGUAAUAACAUGUAUUUUCUCUUCUUUGCAUUUAGCAGUAAUCAACCUUAGUUAUGCGACUCAAAAUCUGAGGCAGCUUCUGGAUCCUCAGGAAGAAUGAAGAUGGGGGAUGGCGUCUGCAUAUUGAGGGGCCAAAUACCAUGUUUAUGGACUGUUUUGGUUCUUCAUUAAGAUGUAAAUAAAUUUUGAUUUGAAUGAGAAUAUAUUUUAAUAUAUUUCACACAUUUAA
This is a non-coding RNA of Malus domestica (apple), 235 nucleotides long. The record is from RefSeq and is a predicted model, not a curated record. Lineage: Eukaryota; Viridiplantae; Streptophyta; Magnoliopsida; Rosales; Rosaceae.